CGGCCUGAAGUGAUGAUUCACAUUCAUGUCUCUUCUCUGAGGAACUACUGAAGGAAACUGUGUAUCUGAUCAGGCCU
Molecule: small nucleolar RNA, 77 nt
Organism: Microtus ochrogaster (prairie vole)
Lineage: Eukaryota; Metazoa; Chordata; Mammalia; Rodentia; Cricetidae
Product: predicted gene, 22193
Source: Ensembl